This 263-nucleotide unclassified non-coding RNA is filed under the name plant metagenome. RNAcentral's name for it is "partial contains small subunit ribosomal RNA, internal transcribed spacer 1, and 5.8S ribosomal RNA". The record is from RNAcentral.
UUUCCGUAGGUGAACCUGCGGAAGGAUCACUAUUGUAUACCCGAGGUGCGAGGGCUGUCGCUGACCCGAAAGGUCGUGCACGCCCGAGUGCCCUCACACACAUCCAUCUCACCCCUAUGUGCACCACCGCGUGGGUCCCCCUUUGGCUUGUUCGGAGGGGGGCUUACGUUUUCACACAAACUUUGUAUGCAGUGUAGAAUGUAUUUUUUGUUUUUGCGAUCACGCAAUCAAUACAACUUUCAACAACGGAUCUCUUGGCUCUC